RNAcentral lists this ribosomal RNA (265 nucleotides) under uncultured Paenibacillus sp. RNAcentral's name for it is "partial 16S ribosomal RNA". It matches the Rfam family "Bacterial small subunit ribosomal RNA", at positions 81 to 339 of the family's 1533-position model. Lineage: Bacteria; Bacillati; Bacillota; Bacilli; Caryophanales; Paenibacillaceae. The record is from RNAcentral.
UUCUUUGAUGCUUAGCGGCGGACGGGUGAGUAACACGUAGGCAACCUGCCCUCAAGCUUGGGACAACUACCGGAAACGGUAGCUAAUACCGAAUACAUGAUUUGUUCGCCUGAACGAAUUUGGAAAGACGGAGCAAUCUGUCACUUGAGGAUGGGCCUGCGGCGCAUUAGCUAGUUGGUGAGGUAACGGCUCACCAAGGCGACGAUGCGUAGCCGACCUGAGAGGGUGAUCGGCCACACUGGGACUGAGACACGGCCCAGACUCC